Picea glauca (white spruce) is the source of this 117-nucleotide non-coding RNA. The record is from Rfam. NCBI's taxonomy places the organism in Eukaryota, Viridiplantae, Streptophyta, Pinopsida, Pinales, Pinaceae.
CCUUGCAAGAAUUGGCGCUAACACACCGGAUCCCAUCAGAACUCUGUAGUUAAGCGUGCUUAGGAUAAAGUAGUACUGGGAUGGGUGACCUCCUGGAAAGUCCUAGUGUUGCACCCU